GACGAACGCUGGCGGCGUGCCUAAUACAUGCCAGUAGAACGCUGAAGAGAGGAGCUUGCUCUUCUUGGAUGAGUUGCGAACGGGUGAGUAACGCGUAGGUAACCUGCCUGGUAGCGGGGGAUAACUAUUGGAAACGAUAGCUAAUACCGCAUAAAAUGGAUUAUCGCAUGAUAAUCCAUUGAAAGGUGCAAAUGCAUCACUACCAGAUGGACCUGCGUUGUAUUAGCUAGUUGGUGGGGUAACGGCUCACCAAGGCGACGAUACAUAGCCGACCUGAGAGGGUGAUCGGCCACACUGGGACUGAGACACGGCCCAGACUCCUACGGGAGGCAGCAGUAGGGAAUCUUCGGCAAUGGACGGAAGUCUGACCGAGCAACGCCGCGUGAGUGAAGAAGGGUUUCGGAUCGUAAAGCUCUGUUGUAAGAGAAGAACGAGUGUGAGAGUGGAAAGUUCACACUGUGACGGUAUCUUACCAGAAAGGGACGGCUAACUACGUG
Molecule: ribosomal RNA, 497 nt
Filed under: uncultured bacterium
Lineage: Bacteria
Description: partial 16S ribosomal RNA
Rfam family: Bacterial small subunit ribosomal RNA
Source: RNAcentral